RNAcentral lists this ribosomal RNA (708 nucleotides) under Bacillus anthracis (anthrax bacterium). RNAcentral describes it as "bacterial SSU rRNA". It matches the Rfam family "Bacterial small subunit ribosomal RNA", at positions 34 to 722 of the family's 1533-position model. Lineage: Bacteria; Bacillati; Bacillota; Bacilli; Caryophanales; Bacillaceae. The record is from RNAcentral.
CGCUGGCGGCGUGCCUAAUACAUGCAAGUCGAGCGAACCGAUUAAGAGCUUGCUCUUAUGAAGUUAGCGGCGGACGGGUGAGUAACACGUGGGUAACCUGCCCAUAAGACUGGGAUAACUCCGGGAAACCGGGGCUAAUACCGGAUAACAUUUUGCGCCUCAUGGCGCGAAAUUGAAAGGCGGCUUCGGCUGUCACUUAUGGAUGGACCCGCGUCGCAUUAGCUAGUUGGUGAGGUAACGGCUCACCAAGGCGACGAUGCGUAGCCGACCUGAGAGGGUGAUCGGCCACACUGGGACUGAGACACGGCCCAGACUCCUACGGGAGGCAGCAGUAGGGAAUCUUCCGCAAUGGACGAAAGUCUGACGGAGCAACGCCGCGUGAGUGAUGAAGGCUUUCGGGUCGUAAAACUCUGUUGUUAGGGAAGAACAAGUGCUAGUUGAAUAAGCUGGCACCUUGACGGUACCUAACCAGAAAGCCACGGCUAACUACGUGCCAGCAGCCGCGGUAAUACGUAGGUGGCAAGCGUUAUCCGGAAUUAUUGGGCGUAAAGCGCGCGCAGGUGGUUUCUUAAGUCUGAUGUGAAAGCCCACGGCUCAACCGUGGAGGGUCAUUGGAAACUGGGAGACUUGAGUGCAGAAGAGGAAAGUGGAAUUCCAUGUGUAGCGGUGAAAAACGUAGAGAUAUGGAGGAACACCAGUGGCGAAGGC